GAUGAACGCUAGCGGGAGGCUUAACACAUGCAAGUCGAGGGGCAGCAUAGGGUAGCAAUACUCUGAUGGCGACCGGCAAACGGGUGAGUAACGCGUAUGCAACCUACCCUGUACAGGGGGAUAACCCGGAGAAAUUCGGACUAAUAUCCCGUAAUAAUAUCCGGAGGCAUCUUUGGAUAUUUAAAGUUUCGACGGUACGGGGUGGGCAUGCGUAACAUUAGCUGGUUGGUAAGGUAACGGCUUACCAAGGCUAUGAUGUUUAGGGGUCCUGAGAGGGUGGUCCCCCACACUGGUACUGAGACACGGACCAGACUCCUACGGGAGGCAGCAGUGAGGAAUAUUGGUCAAUGGGCGCAAGCCUGAACCAGCCAUCCCGCGUGCAGGAAGACGGCUCUAUGGGUUGUAAACUGCUUUUCCAGGGAGAGAAACUUACGCACGUGUUGCGUGACUGACGGUACCCUGGGAAUAAGCAUCGGCUAACUCCGUG
Molecule: ribosomal RNA, 487 nt
Filed under: uncultured bacterium
Lineage: Bacteria
Description: bacterial SSU rRNA
Rfam family: Bacterial small subunit ribosomal RNA
Source: RNAcentral